RNAcentral lists this long non-coding RNA (2034 nucleotides) under Sarcophilus harrisii (Tasmanian devil). Its description in RNAcentral is "lncRNA (ENSSHAG00000023687.1)". The record is from RNAcentral. Lineage: Eukaryota; Metazoa; Chordata; Mammalia; Dasyuromorphia; Dasyuridae.
ACCUGUGCUCAAGGGUACAUUCUUUCCCUUGGCAGCUUUAUUCGCUUUUCCUUAUCAAAAUAACUCAUUGCCUAGAUCACAUAAAUGGCUUUACCUGUUUCUGCUAGCACAUUACACUCCCUGUGAGUACAACAGAGAGAACUGAAAAAUGUUUUCCUGAAUUUGGUAAAAAACAGAAUUCACUGGAAUGCUCAUAGAUUUGUAACAUUUUAGAGCCAUGAGAGAGAACCAAUCCAUUUUACAAAUGAGAAUAUUGAGGCCCAGAAAAAUGACAAUACUUUUUGAAUGUCAAACUAAGUAAUAGCAGAGAUGGAAUUGGAAACAGAUUUCUUAUGCUCAUCCCACCAUAUGAUGAUUUAAUUGCUGACAGUUACUCAAAGAAGGGAGCUAUCUGGGGAGGUGGUGAGAUGGAAAUAGAGCUAUAUUAUCAAGGAAAACUGCAGUCUAGUGUUAGGAGACCUGAGUGCUAGUCUUGGUUUUCCAAUUAACUAGUUAAGAUCCCUUUCAAUUCAAAAUACUCUUAAGAUCUUUGGCAAGGAGAAGCUAUAGGUGGCGAAGUAGAUAGUGCACUGGCCCUGAAGUCAGGAGGACCUAAGUUCAGUCUGGCCUCAGACACUUAAUACUUCCUAGUUGUGUGACCCUGGGCAAGUCACUUAACCCCAACUGCCUCAGGAAAAAAAAAAGAAAAAAAGAAAAGAAAAAAAAGAUCUUUGGCAAGAAAAUCUUUAGGUUUCAGGAUCAUCUGUAGAAGGAGGACAUGGAAUUAAAUUUAGAUUAGACCUUCCAAAUUCUAUUUUAUGUACAUGAAUGUGUACCCUAGAACAUAAGCCAUGUUAAGCUCCCAUUUUAAAAUCCCAUUGAAAUUCAAGUUAACAAAUUUAUAAACUUUUAAGUCCUUACAAUUUACCAAGCACUCUGGUAAAUAUGGGGGGAACAAAUACAAACAGAAAAAAGUUCUUGUCCUUAAGGAAUUUACAUUCUAAUGGGAGAAAACUUUUUAGAAGUGGGAACUGAAAAAAUUGGCUUUCAGAAAGGAGAGAGAAGAUAUUCAUGUUGACACAUGGUGGAAAAAGUGGAAUCUGCAAAGGAAUGAAGACUCAGCUGAACUGAACAUUUUUCCUAAAAUGGAAGUUCCAGAAAGAACCAGCUAAUCAAAGGAAGAAGAACUGUUAUGGAGAGUACUUCCAGGAUGAGAAAUCCAGAAUGAAGUGAACUUCAAAAGUUAAGCCUUUUGUGAGACAGUGUCAAGAAUGGAGCGCAAAAUGGAAAGAUUAAUUUGAAUAAGUCAUAGGUUACUAGGGUUUAAAGCUAGACAAGACCCUUAGAAAUUAACUUGCACAAUUCCUUCUAUUUUUGUUUUGAAAUUGAAUCAAAGGUAAUAAAUCAUAGAGUUGGGAUCCCUGUGUAGAUCCUAACAAUUGACCAUUUCAAGUACUCAAAGAAGGGAUUCAGAAGUCCUUGGACAUCUACAGAUUUUUAGUUUCACCUGAUAGUAUCAUUUACAAAACAUUUAUGGAAUUAUUAAAUUCAAGUGAAUGUGAGCAAGUGAAGAUGUGCUAAAAGAUGCUUGAGUAGGUCCCAAUAGGCACAUUUCUACAGUAAAAUGUGCUAGAUUAGCCACUUCAUAAAAUUGAAUAGCGUCUGUGUAAGUUGGAAGUAUUGACUAUAUAAAAAACCCUUUACAAUUUUAUAAAAAUGGCUUUCAAAUACAUACAGCAGGUGAACCAUAUGAGAAAAAUCUCAAUAUUCAAUUCUUCGGUAAAAGUACAAUCACUAAGGCAGAUUGGGUUGUAAACUAUUAGGACCAUAGUCUUUAGAGCAGGAAAGAUCCUUCAAAAUCAUUUAGUUGAACACCUUCAUUUCAUAAAUUAGAUAAAUUAGAUUAUAAAAUAAAUUAUAAAUUAGAGAAACAAAACAAUUUAAGGUUAUAAAGCUAGUAUUAUGAGAGAGCUAGGUCUUCAAAUUCAGUAUCAUAUUAGGAUAUACCAAAGGGCACUUAGACAUUAAAUAUUGCUUUAGUUCAACGAAGCAGAU